CAGCCGUAAACAAUGUGCGUUAGGUGUGUCGGUAACCACGUGUUACUGAUGCGCCGAAGAGAAAUCGUGAAACGCACCACCUGGGAAGUACGGUCGCAAGGCUGAAACUUAAAGGAAUUGGCGGGGGAGCACCACAACAGGUGGAGCCUGCGGUUUAAUUGGACUCAACGCCGGGAAUCUCACCGGAUAAGACAGCAGAAUGAUUGCCGGGCUGAAGACUCUGCAUGACUAGCUGAGAGGAGGUGCAUGGCGUCAGUGACU
Molecule: ribosomal RNA, 261 nt
Filed under: uncultured archaeon
Lineage: Archaea
Description: partial 16S ribosomal RNA
Rfam family: Archaeal small subunit ribosomal RNA
Source: RNAcentral